GGAGUCCGUAUCAUGGUGAAGGUAUUUUUACAUUGAUGUUAGAAGGUGCAAAAUCAAUGGGUGCCGGAGCUGCUACAAUUGCUUUCAGAUAGUAGAGGCGAGCUUGGGGACGAUCUAAAACUAUUCCACAUGAAAGAGGACCGCCUUGACCACUCAUGGGAAAGGCAGACGAAGCCGGAACAUACUUCAAUAGAAUUGGCGGUAAAGUCUUGUCUUGCCUUGAUGGGUAGAACUCUUCUCGAAUCGAGAAGAACUGAAGACCCUGACCCAGCACGGAUCUGAAGCUGGAAGGUUGUGGAGCAAAAGAAGGGAAGUUCAAUGGACUUGAGAAUGGACUGAAUCUGCUUCCUUUCGAUGUUCAAUAGCUGCUUUCUUGAGAUUGAUUCGGAGCUAGGAUUUUUAUCAAACUGGCUCAGUGCGAAAACCACUGCUGGGAUUCUGCCUUGGGCUCUAUCCAUCUCGAGCAGAGACUCGGCUACCGGUGUACUCUGGAGGGACGGCUUGGAUAAGAGAAGACUGCGAGUAUAAUGACUGUAGUCGUGGCUCCAGAACUGAUGGACAUUGUACCACCGUUCUAAGGCCGCGCCAGUGCCACUGCUUGGCCACGGCGUUUCUGGGUCAAAUGGUUGCCAAAUGAAUAACAAUGCAAGUGUUUUGGGCGUCGGUUUUGGAUACUUCAUUUGGGCUUACCUUUUUUUUUUUUUAAA
This 707-nucleotide unclassified non-coding RNA is filed under the name Hevea brasiliensis (rubber tree). Lineage: Eukaryota; Viridiplantae; Streptophyta; Magnoliopsida; Malpighiales; Euphorbiaceae. The record is from RNAcentral.